GUGCAGCGGUGAAAUGCGUAGAGAUCUGAAGGAAUACGGGGUGGCGAAGGCGGCCCCCUGGACAGAUACUGACACUCAGAUGCGAAAGCGUGGGGAGCAAACAGGAUUAGAUACCCUGGUAGUCCACGCCGUAAACGAUGUCUACUUGGAGGUUGUGGCCUUGAGCCGUGGCUUUCGGAGCUAACGCGUUAAGUAGACCGCCUGGGGAGUACGGUCGCAAGAUUAAAACUCAAAUGAAUUGACGGGGGCCCGCACAAGCGGUGGAGCGUGUGGUUUAAUUCGAUGCAACGCGAAGAACCUUACCUACUCUUGACAUCCAGAGAACUUUCCAGAGAUGGAUUGGUGCCUUCGGGAACUCUGAGACAGGUGCUGCAGGGCUGCCGUCAGCUCGUGUUGUGAAAUGUUGGGUUAAGUCCCGCAACGAGCGCAACCCUUAUCCUUGUUUGCCAGCGAGUAAUGUCGGGAACUCCAGGGAGACUGCCGGUGAUAAACCGGAGGAAGGUGGGGACGACGUCAAGUCCUCAUGGCCCUUACGGGUUGGGCUACACACGUGCUACAAUGGUG
RNAcentral lists this ribosomal RNA (564 nucleotides) under Vibrio parahaemolyticus. RNAcentral describes it as "bacterial SSU rRNA". It matches the Rfam family "Bacterial small subunit ribosomal RNA", at positions 673 to 1235 of the family's 1533-position model. The record is from RNAcentral. Lineage: Bacteria; Pseudomonadati; Pseudomonadota; Gammaproteobacteria; Vibrionales; Vibrionaceae.